Molecule: ribosomal RNA, 259 nt
Filed under: Plectosphaerella cucumerina
Lineage: Eukaryota; Fungi; Ascomycota; Sordariomycetes; Glomerellales; Plectosphaerellaceae
Description: 5.8S ribosomal RNA
Rfam family: 5.8S ribosomal RNA (bases 103-256)
About the family: 5.8S ribosomal RNA (5.8S rRNA) is a component of the large subunit of the eukaryotic ribosome. It is transcribed by RNA polymerase I as part of the 45S precursor that also contains 18S and 28S rRNA.
Source: RNAcentral
ACCUGUUGCUUCGGCGGCGCCCGCAAGGGUGCCCGCCGGUCUCAUCAGAAUCUCUGUUUUCGAACCCGACGAUACUUCUGAGUGUUCUUAGCGAACUGUCAAAACUUUUAACAACGGAUCUCUUGGCUCCAGCAUCGAUGAAGAACGCAGCGAAACGCGAUAUGUAAUGUGAAUUGCAGAAUUCAGUGAAUCAUCGAAUCUUUGAACGCACAUGGCGCCUUCCAGUAUCCUGGGAGGCAUGCCUGUCCGAGCGUCGUUU